UUUUCAAAGAAGUACAAAGACGGAUUCUACAUAUUUGUUGAGAAUGAAAUUAAUCUUCUUGAUAGUCCUAUUAAUCUUACACCUGUUAAUUGGAAUGUCCGAAGCGUUUGGCUGUGCUUGUGCUUUUCCUUUCUUCAAUUACUUCUGCUGCAUUACUGUAAACACCUGUUGUUGGGGAAAGGAAGGAGAUGAUUCCAACGGCGAAUAAGAUUCACUGCAGAUUCAAGCUAAAGCUGUGAGAAGAUAUUACUAUUUUUUUCAUUCUAAAAAUUGCAUUUCAAUAAAGCUAAUCUACAUUGUCAGGCCAUGGAGCUUAUUCUGUCUGCCGAGAAAACUCUUUUUCAAGUUUUUGCGAUCAUGAGUUUAUUGCUGAUCCUUUUUCCACUAAGAAGCAAUGCCUUCGCUUGCCUAACCUGUCUCUUUCCUAUUUUUCAUCCGAUUUGUUGCGCCUUAAUACAUACAUGCUGCAAGAUGGAUAAGGCUCCAGCUGCGACUGCUGCUCCCAAUGCUACAGCUGCUUGAAAUCGCUUCAGGAACACGAUUGCUUCCCACAGUUUUAUUUACGUAAAAAUUGUUACACUAACCAAAUGAUUAUUUUUUCAGCGAAUUAAGCUGAAUCUUGAA
Molecule: long non-coding RNA, 624 nt
Organism: Argiope bruennichi
Lineage: Eukaryota; Metazoa; Arthropoda; Arachnida; Araneae; Araneidae
Exons: 4
Source: RefSeq, a predicted model, not a curated record